GAGUCCUCCCCCGUCCCCCAAUUUCCCCGUCUUCCUGCGCGAGGUGAAGUGCGAGAGCGCCGUCUUCCUCGGCCGAGAACUCCCUAGGGUUUCCUUCACGGUUCACUGCCUCGACCCACCGGCUCUCCCCGACGCCUCCCAUCCCCUCGGACCUCGGAUACAAUGGUUAAACCAAUAAGUGAUGAGGAGGUUGAGUAUUUAGCAGGCCCGGCAGAUCAUGCUGGUAUAAAUUUUUUCAACAACGUAUUUUUUUAUUUCAAGUCUGAUGUCAGCACUGAUACUUCUGUGUGAGUGCAUUCUCCUCUGCCUGUGUAUUCAUGUUUAAAUGCUUGU
Lolium rigidum is the source of this 333-nucleotide long non-coding RNA. RefSeq lists it as uncharacterized. Lineage: Eukaryota; Viridiplantae; Streptophyta; Magnoliopsida; Poales; Poaceae. The transcript is spliced from 3 exons. The record is from RefSeq and is a predicted model, not a curated record.